GUAGGGAAUCUUGCGCAAUGGGCGAAAGCCUGACGCAGCCAUGCCGCGUGAAUGAUGAAGGUCUUAGGAUUGUAAAAUUCUUUCACCGGGGACGAUAAUGACGGUACCCGGAGAAGAAGCCCCGGCUAACUUCGUGCCAGCAGCCGCGGUAAUACGAAGGGGGCUAGCGUUGCUCGGAAUUACUGGGCGUAAAGGGCGCGUAGGCGGACAGUUUAGUCAGAGGUGAAAGCCCAGGGCUCAACCUUGGAAUUGCCUUUGAUACUGGCUGUCUUGAGUACGGGAGAGGUGAGUGGAACUCCGAGUGUAGAGGUGAAAUUCGUAGAUAUUCGGAAGAACACCAGUGGCGAAGGCGACUCACUGGCCCGUUACUGACGCUGAGGCGCGAAAGCGUGGGGAGCAAACAGGAUUAGAAACCCCAGUAGUCC
RNAcentral lists this ribosomal RNA (425 nucleotides) under uncultured bacterium. RNAcentral describes it as "partial 16S ribosomal RNA". It matches the Rfam family "Bacterial small subunit ribosomal RNA", at positions 354 to 796 of the family's 1533-position model. The record is from RNAcentral.